UACGUAGGCAGCGAGCGUUGUUCGGAGUUACUGGGCGUAAAGAGUGCGUAGGCGGUUUUCUAAGUUUGGUGUGAAAUCUCCCGGCUCAACUGGGAGGGUGCGCCGAAGACUGGAAGGCUUGAGUAUGGGAGAGGUGAGUGGAACUGCGAGUGUAGAGGUGAAAUUCGUAGAUAUUCGCAAGAACACCAGUGGCGAAGGCGGCUCACUGGCCCAUUACUGACGCUGAGGCACGAAAGCGUGGGGAGCAAACAGG
This 253-nucleotide ribosomal RNA is filed under the name uncultured bacterium. Its description in RNAcentral is "partial 16S ribosomal RNA". It matches the Rfam family "Bacterial small subunit ribosomal RNA", at positions 524 to 776 of the family's 1533-position model. The record is from RNAcentral.